This 253-nucleotide ribosomal RNA is filed under the name uncultured bacterium. RNAcentral describes it as "partial 16S ribosomal RNA". It matches the Rfam family "Bacterial small subunit ribosomal RNA", at positions 524 to 776 of the family's 1533-position model. The record is from RNAcentral.
UACGAAGGGUGCAAGCGUUACUCGGAAUUACUGGGCGUAAAGCGUGCGUAGGUGGUUCGUUAAGUCUGUCGUGAAAGCCCCGGGCUCAACCUGGGAAUGGCGAUGGAUACUGGCGGGCUAGAGUGCGGUAGAGGAGAGUGGAAUUCCCGGUGUAGCAGUGAAAUGCGUAGAGAUCGGGAGGAACAUCAGUUGCGAAGGCGGCGCUCUGGACCAGCACUGACACUGAGGCACGAAAGCGUGGGGAGCAAACAGG